Non-coding RNA from Ictidomys tridecemlineatus (thirteen-lined ground squirrel), 72 nucleotides. Lineage: Eukaryota; Metazoa; Chordata; Mammalia; Rodentia; Sciuridae. The record is from Rfam.
UGGGGUGUGACUCAGUGGCAGAGUGCUUGCCUAGCAUGUGUGAGACUCUGAGUUCAAUUUUCAACACUGCAA